UCCUGGUUAGCUCAGUUGGUAGAGCACUCCACUGAAUAUGAAGAGGUCCUUGGUAGAAUACCAAGAUCAGGGA
RNAcentral lists this transfer RNA (73 nucleotides) under Ixodes scapularis (black-legged tick). It matches the Rfam family "tRNA". Rfam says of the family: Transfer RNA (tRNA) molecules are approximately 80 nucleotides in length. Their secondary structure includes four short double-helical elements and three loops (D, anti-codon, and T loops). The record is from Rfam by way of RNAcentral. Lineage: Eukaryota; Metazoa; Arthropoda; Arachnida; Ixodida; Ixodidae.